This 81-nucleotide transfer RNA is filed under the name Colletotrichum cereale. RNAcentral's name for it is "tRNA-Gly". It matches the Rfam family "tRNA". Rfam says of the family: Transfer RNA (tRNA) molecules are approximately 80 nucleotides in length. Lineage: Eukaryota; Fungi; Ascomycota; Sordariomycetes; Glomerellales; Glomerellaceae. The record is from RNAcentral.
GCGCCGAUGGUUUAGUGGUAAAAUUCUCCGUUGCCAUCCAGCAGCCUCGGGGAGCCGGGGGUUCGAUUCCCCCUCGGCGCA